RNAcentral lists this transfer RNA (90 nucleotides) under Lysobacteraceae bacterium. Its description in RNAcentral is "Xanthomonadaceae bacterium tRNA-Ser". It matches the Rfam family "tRNA". From Rfam's summary of the family: Transfer RNA (tRNA) molecules are approximately 80 nucleotides in length. Lineage: Bacteria; Pseudomonadati; Pseudomonadota; Gammaproteobacteria; Lysobacterales; Lysobacteraceae. The record is from RNAcentral.
GGAGAGGUGGCAGAGCGGUUGAAUGCACUGGUCUUGAAAACCAGCAGGGGUUAACGCCCCUCGUGGGUUCAAAUCCCACCCUCUCCGCCA